Non-coding RNA from Microcebus murinus (gray mouse lemur), 522 nucleotides. NCBI's taxonomy places the organism in Eukaryota, Metazoa, Chordata, Mammalia, Primates, Cheirogaleidae. The record is from RefSeq and is a predicted model, not a curated record.
AGGUGACCCUCUGCCUUUGUCACUCUCUGAACUGCGGGUUCUGAAACAUCUGCAAGAAGGAUCCCAGGGCACCACGGAAGUUGGAAAAUGGGACUGUUGACAUUCAGGGAUGUGGCCAUAGAAUUCUCUGUGGAUGAGUGGGCGUGUCUUGACAAUGCUCAGCGGAAUUUGUAUAGGGGUGUGAUGUUUGACAACUACAGAAAUUUGGUCUUCGUGGGUCUUGCUGCCUCUAAGCCAGACCUGAUCACCUGUCUGGAGCAAAGAAAAGAGCCCUGGAAUGUGACAGACAAGUGAUCAGUAGCCAAACACCCAGGUAAGUGGGAGUGAAUGAAGCAGGUGACACAGAGAGAGAGGUCCAAAGUUCAAGGAGGAAGCCAGACCUUAAAAAGUGCUUUGGAAAACUCUGCUUCGAUGGAAAUGGUUUCUAGGAAGUCUUGGUUUCUUUCUCUUAAUCUUUGAUAGAGUCUUUGCUGUCCCUUAUUCUUAAAUUAUCUAAGGACUUUAUGUCCAUUCAGUGUUGUU